UACAGAGACCUCAAGCGUUAUCCGGUAUUAUUGGGCGUAAAGCGUCCGCAGGUGGUUUUGACAGUCAUUGGUCAAAUCCCGAGGCUUAACCUCGGGACUGCUGAUGAUACUACAAAACUUGAGGCUGGAAGAGGCAAGCGGAACUGCCGGUGUAGUCGUAAUAAGCGUUGAUAUCGGCAGGAACACCAAAGGCGAAGGCAGCUUGCUAGUACAUGCCUGACACUCAUGGACGAAAGCGUGGGUAGCGAACGGG
RNAcentral lists this unclassified non-coding RNA (253 nucleotides) under Patescibacteria group bacterium. RNAcentral's name for it is "contains 16S-23S intergenic spacer region". It matches the Rfam family "Bacterial small subunit ribosomal RNA", at positions 524 to 776 of the family's 1533-position model. The record is from RNAcentral.